ACACUCGACGACUCCGCAUCUUUAAUCAUUCUCGCUCCCGAAACCAUCCCCAAGCUUAAUCACCGGAUUUAAUAGUGGCGACGAGGACAAUCGGUAGCGGUGCAGAAGGUUUAAACUGACCGCAGCGAAGGAAACCAGCUCUGGACUAUCUCGGCACCAGAAUUCAACAAAAAUAAAAAACGAGUGGCAUCAGGCUGUGCAGGUUUGCGCUGCAACAAUCGGCUUUGCAGCAGGGAGUGUCAUUCCGUUCCACCGGGAGGUUUUGUGUUGCUUAUUCGUUGGCAUCGAGUUAAGAGUCGUGAUCAUGGUUGAACACAAGGAGAUAACCACCGUCCAUCCAAUUCAACUCAGAGUCGUUAACGAUGGACGCGGCAUGCCAAGGCGAUCGAUGCGUGUUGUCGAGACUGGUCGGCCGGUACUGACUGAUGAUUAUGACGACA
This is a long non-coding RNA of Armigeres subalbatus, 440 nucleotides long. RefSeq lists it as uncharacterized. Lineage: Eukaryota; Metazoa; Arthropoda; Insecta; Diptera; Culicidae. The record is from RefSeq and is a predicted model, not a curated record. The transcript has 3 exons.